UUAACUUGAUUAUUUUUAGCUCAGAGAGUUCCAUAAUACAGAGUCUUGUUUCUUCGACAGGCACCUGUAACAGGCUGAAGCUCCGCCCUGAAGCCACCUGUCGAAGCAACUGCACGGGUAUAAUUCACAGAGGUUUGGGAGUUUCGCAACUCUUGUAAUGAUCCCUCCGCUGGUUCACCAACGGAGA
RNAcentral lists this unclassified non-coding RNA (187 nucleotides) under uncultured fungus. RNAcentral's name for it is "sequence contains ITS1". The record is from RNAcentral. Lineage: Eukaryota; Fungi.